AUGAUUUUUGAAAAUAUAUAGUUGUAGAAAUAAAUUAUUAACAUAUGUUAAUAACUUCAUUUGUAUAAAAAAAAUCUGACAUGAUUAACAAAUUUGAACCUAUUUUAGUGGUAGAUGAUAAUUUAUUUAAAUGAAAGCAUUAUAUUACUUAAUUACAAAAUUAAUUAAUACAAUAUUUAAUAAAAAUUAUUUAAAAAUUUAGUAGGAUUUUGUUAGAUUUUUCUAACAGAUUUUGCUAUAACUAAAGAUAAAAUUCAAAUCUAUAGUUAAAAUUAAUUUAUUAUUAAUAUUCCUAUUAAUUAUUAUGUCAUAUUAUGUAAUUAAUGAAAUGGUCUUAGUAGACUUAUAAAUAGUAGAUAAAAAUGAUACUUCUCUUUUAAUAGAGAAGAUAUGCCUUAAAGACCCACGAUAAUAUAAAAUCGGCGUCGUUUCACUCUGAACAAGCCCUAGUUUUUUAACACAAUCUCACAACCCACAAGUCUUUCUCUUAGUCUCUUCCUCAGCCGGCGACAUCCUCAAGCAAUCCAGACGACGAGUUGUGGACGGAAAGUUAUUGACAACAAGUUGUGGACAACAAGCUAAAGAUGACGAUGAAUUAUUGAUCGACUUGUGAACGACGAGUAAUUUGUGUACGUCUGAAUCAAAAAAAUGCAAAUAAUAUUGUAUGAUGGUUUACUACCACUAUUACAAAUUUGAAAUUUUUAAAAAAUUAAUAUGAUAACCAUUAUAUAUGUACAUAAUACACUUAACACCAUGUGGACGGUAAUUUCUAUGAGAGUGAUUUGUUAUGAAAAUAAAUUAUGAAUAUAUAUAUAUAUAUUUCAUGAACACAUAUGGUUUAGUCUUAAAUUAUGGACAUAAUAAUUGUGUACGUAGAAAUAUGGACAAGAUUACAAUAUAUGAGAUUAAAAUGGUUCAGCUAAACAUGUGAAAAAGAUCUACGCUUUAUAAAAGAUUACUCGGGCUUUCCUUCUACAAUUGAAGAGGCGAAGACAGCUACCACAACGAUCUUGAGCAUGGCCACAACACAUGAGACGAUGUGGAUGGUGUUCAUGUCUACAUCUAAUCUAUAAUUAUAUUAUCCAUGUUUUGGUAUCCACGUCGAUAUUUAAUUUUGUCUACACAUUAAUAUAUAUAUAAUAUAUAUGAAAAUAGAUUUUAAAAGAUAGAGAAUUUUAUAUAUAAUUUAUUAUGAUAAUUAUUUUUGUUUAAUAGAGUUUAUAAUUUGAGAUAAAAAUAAAUAAAAACAUAAGGUGUGAUAAGGAAAACAAUAAAGUAAAAUAAAAAGAAGAGAGAGAUUUGUGUGAUGGAAAGAAAGUGAAAUGUUUCAUUUUCUUUAGUUUAAGGUCAUAAGAGUCAUUUUUACAAGGGAAAAUAUGUCUCAACUCUCAAAUGAUAAGUGUCUUGUAGUCUAAUUGAUACUAGAUUUUGACCCGCGCUUUAAAAGCGCGGGGUUAUUUUUUCUAAAUAAUUUCAUACGAAAGCAAUAUAAAGGUUGAUCGAGUAUAGCAUUAUGUGUGUUUAAAAUACUUAUAAUACAAUCAUAUAUUUAAUCGUGUAAAUUUUGUAUGUUCGUAAAAUAAAUAUGAAUUUUAAAGAUGGUAUUUCUAAAAUGUGGGAUUUUAUACUCAUAAUAAACUACUUUGGAAAUAUUUUAAUAGUUUUUAGUUCUAUAAAUUAAAGCUUUAUAUUUUUUUUUAAAACUAUAUGAUUCACAAUUAUAUUAGUUAGGGCUAUGGAAAAAAUCGGAAUCGGAAAAAUUGACUCGAAUCUGAUCCGAUCAGAAAAAGUAGUACCAAAACAGUACUAAAAUUGGUUAAAUAUCCGAACAUGUUCAAAACUUUGGUAUCUAGAGAAUCGGAACUAAAUCCGUUUCAACUUGAAAUAUUUUGGAUAUCUGAAUAUAUCUGAAUCAGAUUUAUAUACUUAAAUAUAUUAAUUAUCCUAAAAAUUAAUAUAUAAAAAUAUUUAGUAUAUAAGAUAUUUUGAAGUUGCCUAAAAUAACUGAAAAUAUAUAUAUUAAAAAUAAUUAUAAAAAUAGCUAAUCAAUAAUCAAAACACCAAUUAUACUUAAAAUAUAAAUUAAUUCUAUUCAAAUAUUCAAGCCAAACCAAUUUAUAUAUUAGGUUUAUGUAUUUUGGCAUACAUUAUUUUAAUUUAUAUUUAAUAUAUUAUUUUAUUUUUAUAUUUUGAGAAAUUUAAAGUAUAUAUGAAUUUAAUUUUUUUAAAAAUAAUUUAUCCGGACUAUCCAAACCCAAACCGAAUCCGCAAUGAUCCGAACCAAAAUUUAUAAAUACAUGAAUGGGGCUGAUAUGUUUAACUUAGAAUAUCCAAAACCCGAAUAGACAUGAACCAAACGCAAAUGAAUACCCGAAUGUCCACCCGUAUUAUCAGUCUUUUUUUCAAAAAAUAAUUUUUUUCUUAGAACAUUAUUAUUAAUUAACUAAUAUAUACUAACAUCUUUCUACAUUUUAUACUAAUUAAACUUUUGAUUCAAUGAGGUUAAAUUGAUUAUAAUGUGUUUUAUAAUUUGGGUUUGGAUAAAAUAAGAAUGUUAUUAGUAAUGGGCAGUGAAAUGUUCUCUAAUAAUUUUGUUUUCCUACUUGACCCAUCAACAUUUGGUUAAAAUUUGUCAAAUAUUGAUUAACAAUAUAAUCAAUCGAUGGACCAGGAAUAUUUAUAAAGUAAGUCAAUUAGUUUAGGAUGUACACAAUUUUGUAGAUUUGUCAAUUAAUUUUGGGCCCCUAGAUCUUUUGAAAUAUUCCCAAAAUGCUUAAAAGAUAUAUUAAUCGAAUAUGCUGAAAGUUAAUGUUCCGGAUUUUCUAUGUAAAUCACAUAUGCUGAAGUUACUGCAUUUUCCAUAACCACAGGUUAGAUUUUUAGGCAACUUCCGAAAUUGGUGGGUUUAAUUUAUGAGAUGAUUAUUGUAAACAUGGUUUCUACAUGUAUUAUCUAUUAUCGUAUUAAGAAGAUGGUAAUUAUCUGUUACACAUAUCCCAAAAAAAUCGAUUACAUUCGAUAUAUUUAAAUAAUUAUAUGAAAUAUAAUUUUUAUUUGAGAAGAAACUAACUCAUACUGAAGCAAUUAAGAAAUCUGUUGAAACCUUGAAAAGUUUACCGUAUUCAUAACAAAAAAGAAUUUGUAAGAAAAAAAGAGUUUGUAAUUGACUUACUAACCACAACGACGGAGAAGAAAAUGGGCGUUUCUAUUUUUUUUCUCGCUAUAACCUUGAAUACAUUUAGACCAAGACCUGUGUAUCUAUAGUUUUUAAAAACACAAGAGAACCAAAAUAAAUACAAAGACAUUACACCAGAAUGAAACCUCAAAUCAGAAUAAAAAUAAGACUUUGCACUUACUUUGGACCGUCUGACUUGGAAAAGAAACGUUUAACCUUUUAAAAUCCAUAUGUAUACCCUGUCCUGAGCCUUGUCUACUGGAUAUGCAAUAUGCACUGAUGACAAUGUGGAGAGUUGAUAAGAGUUUCUGCAAUAAAUCAUAAACACACAGCAGACA
Molecule: long non-coding RNA, 3513 nt
Organism: Brassica rapa (field mustard)
Lineage: Eukaryota; Viridiplantae; Streptophyta; Magnoliopsida; Brassicales; Brassicaceae
Source: RefSeq, a predicted model, not a curated record